AGAUGCAAUACCGCGAGGUGGAGCCAAACUUAAAAACCAGUCUCAGUUCGGAUUGUAGGCUGAAACUCGCCUACAUGAAGCUGGAGUUACUAGUAAUCGCGAAUCAGAAUGUCGCGGUGAAUACGUUCCCGGGUCUUGUACACACCGCCCGUCACACCAUGAGAGUUGGCAAUACCCGAAGUCCGUGAGCUAACCGCAAGGAGGCAGCGGCCGAAGGUAGGGUCAGCGAUUGGGGUGAAGUCGUAACAAGGUAGCCGUAGGAGAACCUGCGGCUGGAUCACCUCCUUUCUAAGGAA
Molecule: ribosomal RNA, 296 nt
Filed under: Clostridium perfringens
Lineage: Bacteria; Bacillati; Bacillota; Clostridia; Eubacteriales; Clostridiaceae
Description: partial 16S ribosomal RNA
Rfam family: Bacterial small subunit ribosomal RNA
Source: RNAcentral